Molecule: ribosomal RNA, 250 nt
Filed under: uncultured prokaryote
Description: partial 16S rRNA
Rfam family: Bacterial small subunit ribosomal RNA
Source: RNAcentral
ACGGAGGAUGCAAGCGUUAUCCGGAUUUAUUAGGUUUAAAGGGUGCGUAGGCGGAGACUUAAGUCAGUGGUAAAAGGCAAUAGCUUAACUAAAGUAAGCCAUUGAUACUGGUUAUCUUGAGUUCGGUUAAGGUAGGCGGAAUGUGUUGUGUAGCGGUGAAAUGCUUAGAUAUUACACAGAACACCGAUUGCGUAGGCAGCUUACUGUGCCGUCACUGACGCUGAUGCACGAAAGCGUGGGGAUCGAACAG